CCUACGGGUGGCUGCAGUCGAGAAUCAUUCACAAUGGGGGAAACCCUGAUGGUGCGACGCCGCGUGGGGGAAUGAAGGUCUUCGGAUUGUAAACCCCUGUCAUGUGGGAGCAAAUUAAAAAGAUAGUACCACAAGAGGAAGAGACGGCUAACUAUGUGCCAGCAGCCGCGGUAAUACAGAGGUCUCAAGCGUUGUUCGGAAUCACUUGGCGUAAAGCGUGCGGAGGCUGUUUCGUAAGUCGUGUGGGAAAGGCGCGGGCUUAAACCGCGGACCGCACAUGAAACUGGGAGACUAGAGUAAUCGAGGGGGAAGCGGAAUUCUCGGUGUAGCAGUGAAAU
RNAcentral lists this ribosomal RNA (338 nucleotides) under uncultured bacterium. RNAcentral describes it as "partial 16S ribosomal RNA". It matches the Rfam family "Bacterial small subunit ribosomal RNA", at positions 338 to 687 of the family's 1533-position model. The record is from RNAcentral.